This 646-nucleotide ribosomal RNA is filed under the name Dasypoda frieseana. Its description in RNAcentral is "eukaryotic LSU rRNA". It matches the Rfam family "Eukaryotic large subunit ribosomal RNA", at positions 386 to 834 of the family's 3401-position model. Lineage: Eukaryota; Metazoa; Arthropoda; Insecta; Hymenoptera; Melittidae. The record is from RNAcentral.
AGUUCAAGAGUACGUGAAACCGUUCAGGGGUAAACCUGAGAAACCCAAAAGUUCGAAAAGGGAGAUUCAUCGUCAACGACUGCCGGCUCCCGUGGCGCGCGAUGCCUCUCGUCCUCGGACGGGCGGGCACGCCGCCGCGGCGAACGUUCCGGCGUCGCGGACGUGCACUUCUCCCUUAGUAGGACGUCGCGACCCGUUGGGUGUCGGCCUACGGCUCGAGCGGGAGUCUGCCGCUUCGGCGGCAAACCCUCGAAUCCCUGGCCGACCGCACGACGGUAGUAAAGACGGUAUCAGGUCGCAACAAGUGCGUCAGGCCCGCCGCAAGUCGGAACCUCUCUCCGGAGGGGGACCGGCUGUUAGCUGGCGGUGUUGUCGGACUGGCCGAAAUACCUGUCGGCGACGCUAUUGCUUUGGGUACUCUCAGGACCCGUCUUGAAACACGGACCAAGGAGUCUAACAUGUGCGCGAGUCAUUGAGAUUUAUCAAACUUAAAGGCGAAAUGAAAGUGAAGGUCGGCCUCCGCGCCGACCGAGGGAGGAUGGGCCGCGUGCAAAUGCGGCCUCGCACUCCCGGGGCGUCUCGUUCUCAUUGCGAGAUGAGGCGCACCCAGAGCGUACACGUUGGGACCCGAAAGAUGGUGAACUAA